This 450-nucleotide ribosomal RNA is filed under the name uncultured bacterium. Its description in RNAcentral is "partial 16S ribosomal RNA". It matches the Rfam family "Bacterial small subunit ribosomal RNA", at positions 354 to 796 of the family's 1533-position model. The record is from RNAcentral.
GUGGGGAAUAUUGGACAAUGGGCGAAAGCCUGAUCCAGCCAUGCCACGUGUGUGAAGAAGGUCUUCGGAUUGUAAAGCACUUUAAGUUGGGAGGAAGGGCAGUAAGUUAAUACCUUGCUGUUUUGACGUUACCGACAGAAUAAGCACCGGCUAACUUCGUGCCAGCAGCCGCGGUAAUACGAAGGUUGCAAGCGUUAAUCGGAAUUACUGGGCGUAAAGCGCGCGUAGGUGGUUUUGUAAGUUGGAGGUGAAAUCCCCGGGAUCAACCGGGGAACUGCCUCGAAAACUGCAUGACUAGAGUACGGUAGAGGGUAGUGGAAUUUCCUGUGUAGCGGGGAAAUGCGUAGAUAUAGGAAGGAACACCAGUGGCGAAGGCGACUACCUGGACUGAUACUGACACUGAGGGGCGAAAGCGUGGGGAGCAAACAGGAUUAGAAACCCGAGUAGUCC